UUCGUGCACUACACUGUGCACAUCCCGCCCACGCCGGACAGGACCACGGCGUCCGCGUCCACGAACGCGCCCGUAGCUGAGGAGGAGGGGGGUGCUUUCGGAGAGGAGCUACGUCUCCGGCACCAUCUUCACCGGCAGCCUCAACUGCGCGACGCGCGCCCACGUGCUCGGCAACUCUGCCGAUGGCGCUCGGCCGGCCGCCUCCGUCAACAUGUCUUGCAAGAUGCGCGGCUCCGACAUGCCGGCGUUGGCAGCCACCCGCCUUGUGACUGCAGCUUCAUGAUCUGUGAGGAGUGCUACAUGGACUGCGUCGCCGCCUCCGGCAACUACCCAGGCUGCAAGGAGGCCUACUCCGCCGGCAGCGACACCGACGACUCUGUCGACAAGGACGACGAUGACGCCAUCUCCUCGUCGGAGGAGAGGGACCAGAUGCCCAUGACAUCCAUGUCCAUGCGCUUCUCCAUGGUGCACUCCAUCAAAAUGCCCAUGCCCAGCAACAACGGCAAGCCGGCCGACUUCGACCACGCCCGGUGGCUCUUCGAGACCAAGGGCACCUACAGCUACGGCAACGCUCUAUGGCCCGAGAACGAGCACGGCGGCGGCGGCAACAGCGCUGGGGCCACCUCCGGAUUCGUUGGCAUUGUCAGGACCCCGAUCCUAAGUCACACCGAUCUAAGGACUCCG
Molecule: ribosomal RNA, 684 nt
Filed under: Triticum aestivum (bread wheat)
Lineage: Eukaryota; Viridiplantae; Streptophyta; Magnoliopsida; Poales; Poaceae
Description: partial small subunit ribosomal RNA
Source: RNAcentral